RNAcentral lists this unclassified non-coding RNA (368 nucleotides) under Hevea brasiliensis (rubber tree). Lineage: Eukaryota; Viridiplantae; Streptophyta; Magnoliopsida; Malpighiales; Euphorbiaceae. The record is from RNAcentral.
GUUGUAGGAAGUACAGAGAACGACGCUCCAUUUCGGGCUCGGCGGUUUGAGAGGUUGUUGUCCAAUCUUAACCUUCAAGUUCUUGAAAUCCAUGGAUAUGGAAAUCGAUGCUUCCAAAGAUGUUCCUCUAAUCAAAGAUGAACAUCUUUUCAAAGCCGCAGAGACCGGCGAUUCUUCCGCUUUCACUGCCCUCUCAUCACAACAGCUUUCUCAAUCUCUCUCCCUAAGAAAUGAGGAUGACCGCUCUCUUCUCCAUGUUGCCGUCUCUUCAGGCCACGCCGAUGUGGUAAAGAUACUGGCUACUGCUGAUCAGUCUGCUAAAUUAAUUAACUGCGUUGAUGAGGAAGGUUGGGCACCGAUUCAUUCUG